Molecule: ribosomal RNA, 372 nt
Filed under: Triticum aestivum (bread wheat)
Lineage: Eukaryota; Viridiplantae; Streptophyta; Magnoliopsida; Poales; Poaceae
Description: partial small subunit ribosomal RNA
Source: RNAcentral
AUGGGUCUGAAAUUGACAUCCCCUUUGAACAGACUGAUGAAGGGCAGGUGGUUAUCCAAUUCCUGCUCACUAUUUUUAUACUUGGGAGGUCAGGCAGUGGAAAAACCUACCUUACACUCUAUGAAGCUCUGUCUGACUUACCAUUGUGUUCCUUGCAUUGCCAUAGGUAUGGUCUACAUGCAAAAUGGUACUUCUAAAAUUGAGGAAGCUGGUGACUGUUUUGCUAGGGCUGAGUGCUGGUCGGAGACAGCUGAAAUAUUCUUUAAAGCUAAAUGUUACACCAAGUGUUUCUCCAUGUGCUCGAAUGGAAAACAAUUAUACAAUCUGGGCUUGCAGUUUCUGCAACAGUUAAGAGGAGGAACAUUCACUUGA